Molecule: ribosomal RNA, 465 nt
Filed under: uncultured bacterium
Lineage: Bacteria
Description: partial 16S ribosomal RNA
Rfam family: Bacterial small subunit ribosomal RNA
Source: RNAcentral
CCUACGGGUGGCAGCAGUGGGGAAUUUUGCGCAAUGCUCGUAAGAGUGACGCAGCGACGCCGCGUGAAUGACGAAGGCCUUCGGGUUGUAAAGUUCUUUCGACAGGGAAGAAAAUGCCUAUAAGUAACUGUGUAUGUAUUGACGGUACCUGUAUAAGCAGCGCCGGCUAACUUCGUGCCAGAAGCCGCGGUAAUACGGAGGGGGCGAGCGUUGUUCGGAGGGACUGGGCGUAAAGAGCACGUAGGCGGGGUUGUACUUCAUUAGGCAAUGACUUGUGCUCAACUUUAGUAAGGAUAGUGAUACUAUAAUACGAGAGUAUCAGAGAGGAAUGCAGAAUUCCUGGUGUAGCGGUGAAAUGCGUAGAUAUCAGGAGGAAUACCGUUAGCGAAGGCGGCAAUCUGGCUGGAAUCUGACGCUGAGGUGCGAAAGCGUGGGUAGCAAACAGGAUUAGAUACCCUUGUAGUC